RNAcentral lists this long non-coding RNA (384 nucleotides) under Salmo trutta (river trout). Its description in RNAcentral is "lncRNA (ENSSTUG00000009854.1)". The record is from RNAcentral. Lineage: Eukaryota; Metazoa; Chordata; Actinopteri; Salmoniformes; Salmonidae.
GAAGGUCAUUCCCCGUCUGUCAUCCAGCUGCGCAAUUUAGCGAAAUCGCGGUAGGCGCAAAGGCGACGGAGUCGGUCGUAACGGUAGGUUUAGGUUGACUGAAAAAUAAUUAAUUACUUUUUACACAAGAAAGUCUACACGACGCGAUUUUCACGGACUUCAACAUACUUUAUCGAUUCCAAGAAGGCAAUGAAAACUGCUUUUUGACAAUUUACAGCCCUAGCCCUUUUCCACUUUGCGCUUGGAACCGAGUCCAUAACACAGCAGUGAUAAGCAGGCGGUCGGCCUCGGGAGGAACUCUCCCUCUGCAGUGGUGUGAUAGUGAAUGAUAUCCUGCAUCCCAACCCCCAGCAACCAUCCCUUCCUCAGAGUGCUACUGAUGAU